GCUGGUGUCAUGAUUAUAAGAAAAAAAAUUCCUUCUGAGUGCUCUAGCCAUGGGCAUGACAGACUCCUUUCAGCUGCUGAAUAGCAUAUGAGCAUCA
Molecule: small nucleolar RNA, 97 nt
Organism: Elaeis guineensis (African oil palm)
Lineage: Eukaryota; Viridiplantae; Streptophyta; Magnoliopsida; Arecales; Arecaceae
Product: small nucleolar RNA snoR8a
Source: RefSeq, a predicted model, not a curated record